CGAACGGGUGAGUAACGCGUGAGGAACCUGCCUCAAAGAGGGGGACAACAGUUGGAAACGACUGCUAAUACCGCAUAAGCCCACGGGUCGGCAUCGACCUGAGGGAAAAGGAGUGAUCCGCUUUGAGAUGGCCUCGCGUCCGAUUAGCUAGUUGGUGAGGUAAUGGCCCACCAAGGCGACGAUCGGUAGCCGGACUGAGAGGUUGAACGGCCACAUUGGGACUGAGACACGGCCCAG
RNAcentral lists this ribosomal RNA (237 nucleotides) under uncultured bacterium. Its description in RNAcentral is "partial 16S ribosomal RNA". It matches the Rfam family "Bacterial small subunit ribosomal RNA", at positions 99 to 334 of the family's 1533-position model. The record is from RNAcentral.